GUUGUAUGGUUAAGUGACUAAGCGUACACGGUGGAUGCCUUGGCAGUCAGAGGCGAUGAAAGACGUAGUAACUUGCGAUAAGCCCAGAUUAGGUAGUAACAACCAUUUGAGUCUGGGAUUUCUGAAUGGGGAAACCCACGUGCAUAAGCACGUAUCCUUACCUGAAUACAUAGGGUAAGGAGGCGAACCGGGGGAACUGAAACAUCUAAGUACCCCGAGGAAAAGAAAUCAACCGAGAUUCCGAAAGUAGCGGCGAGCGAAAUUGGACUAGCCCUUAAGCUUUACACGCGUGAGACGAACGGUCUGGAAAGUCCGACGAUACAGGGUGAUAGUCCCGUAGUUGACGACGUGUGUUCAGUGAAAUCGAGUAGGGCGGGACACGUGAUAUCCUGUCUGAAUAUGGGGGGACCAUCCUCCAAGGCUAAAUACUACUGACUGACCGAUAGUGAACCAGUACCGUGAGGGAAAGGCGAAAAGAACCCCUGUGAGGGGAGUGAAAUAGAACCUGAAACCGUGUACGUACAAGCAGUAGGAGCAGGCUUGUCCUGUGACUGCGUACCUUUUGUAUAAUGGGUCAGCGACUUAUAUUCAGUGGCAAGGUUAACCAUCUAGGGGAGCCGUAGGGAAACCGAGUCUUAACUGGGCGUUCAGUCUCUGGAUAUAGACCCGAAACCAGGUGAUCUAGCCAUGGGCAGGUUGAAGGUUGAGUAACAUCAACUGGAGGACCGAACCGACUAAUGUUGAAAAAUUAGCGGAUGACUUGUGGCUAGGGGUGAAAGGCCAAUCAAACCUGGAGAUAGCUGGUUCUCCCCGAAAGCUAUUUAGGUAGCGCCUCGGACGAAUACUACUGGGGGUAGAGCACUGUUAAGGCUAGGGGGUCAUCCCGACUUACCAACCCUUUGCAAACUCCGAAUACCAGUAAGUACUAUCCGGGAGACACACGGCGGGUGCUAACGUCCGUCGUGGAGAGGGAAACAACCCAGACCGCCAGCUAAGGUCCCAAAUUACUACUAAGUGGGAAACGAUGUGGGAAGGCUCAGACAGCCAGGAUGUUGGCUUAGAAGCAGCCAUCAUUUAAAGAAAGCGUAAUAGCUCACUGGUCGAGUCGGCCUGCGCGGAAGAUGUAACGGGGCUAAGUAGUAAACCGAAGCUGCGGCAAUGUGCUUUUGCACAUUGGGUAGGGGAGCGUUCUGUAAGCGGUUGAAGGUGUGUGGUAACGCAUGCUGGACGUAUCAGAAGUGCGAAUGCUGACAUGAGUAACGAUAAAGGGGGUGAAAAACCUCCUCGCCGGAAGACCAAGGGUUCCUGUCCAACGUUAAUCGGGGCAGGGUAAGUCGACCCCUAAGGCGAGGCCGAAAGGCGUAGUCGAUGGGAAACGGGUUAAUAUUCCCGUACUUCUUACAAUUGCGAUGGGGGGACGGAGAAGGCUAGGUGGGCCUGGCGACGGUUGUCCAGGUUCAAGUGCGUAGGCUUAAGAGUUAGGUAAAUCCGGCUCUUUCUAAGGCUGAGACACGACGUCGAGCACCUACGGGUGUGAAGUCAUUGAUGCCAUGCUUCCAGGAAAAGCCUCUAAGCUUCAGAUUGUAAGGAAUCGUACCCCAAACCGACACAGGUGGUCGGGUAGAGAAUACCAAGGCGCUUGAGAGAACUCGGGUGAAGGAACUAGGCAAAAUGGUACCGUAACUUCGGGAGAAGGUACGCUCUCGACGGUGAAGUCCCUCGCGGAUGGAGCUAUUGAGAGUCGCAGAUACCAGGUGGCUGCAACUGUUUAUUAAAAACACAGCACUGUGCAAAAUCGUAAGAUGACGUAUACGGUGUGACGCCUGCCCGGUGCCGGAAGGUUAAUUGAUGGGGUUAGACUUCGGUCGAAGCUCUUGAUCGAAGCCCCGGUAAACGGCGGCCGUAACUAUAACGGUCCUAAGGUAGCGAAAUUCCUUGUCGGGUAAGUUCCGACCUGCACGAAUGGCGUAAUGAUGGCCACGCUGUCUCCACCCGAGACUCAGUGAAAUUGAAAUCGCUGUGAAGAUGCAGUGUACCCGCGGCUAGACGGAAAGACCCCGUGAACCUUUACUACAGCUUGGCACUGAACAUUGACCCUACAUGUGUAGGAUAGGUGGGAGGCUUUGAAGCACGUACGCCAGUAUGUGUGGAGCCGUCCUUGAAAUACCACCCUUGUAGUGUUGAUGUUCUAACGUCGACCCCUAAUCGGGGUUGCGGACAGUGCCUGGUGGGUAGUUUGACUGGGGCGGUCUCCUCCCAAAGAGUAACGGAGGAGCACGAAGGUGGGCUAAUCACGGUUGGACAUCGUGAGGUUAGUGCAAUGGCAUAAGCCCGCUUGACUGCGAGAAUGACAAUUCGAGCAGGUGCGAAAGCAGGUCAUAGUGAUCCGGUGGUUCUGAAUGGAAGGGCCAUCGCUCAACGGAUAAAAGGUACUCCGGGGAUAACAGGCUGAUACCGCCCAAGAGUUCAUAUCGACGGCGGUGUUUGGCACCUCGAUGUCGGCUCAUCACAUCCUGGGGCUGAAGUCGGUCCCAAGGGUAUGGCUGUUCGCCAUUUAAAGUGGUACGCGAGCUGGGUUUAGAACGUCGUGAGACAGUUCGGUCCCUAUCUGCCGUGGGCGUUGGAAGAUUGAAGGGGGCUGCUCCUAGUACGAGAGGACCGGAGUGGACGAACCUCUGGUGUUCGGGUUGUGUCGCCAGACGCAUUGCCCGGUAGCUAAGUUCGGAAUCGAUAACCGCUGAAAGCAUCUAAGCGGGAAGCGAGCCCUGAGAUGAGUCUUCCCUGAUACUUUAAGUAUCCUAAAGGGUUGUCGGAGACUACGACGUUGAUAGGUCAGGUGUGUAAGUGCUGUGAGGCAUUGAGCUAACUGAUACUAAUUGCCCGUGAGGCUUAACCAUACAACACCCAAGGGGUUU
Molecule: ribosomal RNA, 2915 nt
Filed under: Vibrio parahaemolyticus
Lineage: Bacteria; Pseudomonadati; Pseudomonadota; Gammaproteobacteria; Vibrionales; Vibrionaceae
Description: bacterial LSU rRNA
Rfam family: Bacterial large subunit ribosomal RNA
Source: RNAcentral